UACGGGGGGGGUAAGCGUUGUUCGGAAUUACUGGGCGUAAAGGCUCGUAGGCGGCCAACUAAGUCAGACGUGAAAUCCCUCAGCUUAACUGGGGAACUGCGUCUGAUACUGGAUGGCUUGAGUUCGGGAGAGGGAUGCGGAAUUCCAGGUGUAGCGGUGAAAUGCGUAGAUAUCGAGAGGAACACCUGCGGCGAAGGCGGGUUGCUGGGGCUGACACUGACGCUGAGGCGCGAAAGCUAGGGGAGCGAACGGG
This 253-nucleotide ribosomal RNA is filed under the name uncultured bacterium. Its description in RNAcentral is "partial 16S ribosomal RNA". It matches the Rfam family "Bacterial small subunit ribosomal RNA", at positions 524 to 776 of the family's 1533-position model. The record is from RNAcentral.